CCUACGGGAGGCAGCAGUGGGGGAUAUUGCACAAUGGGGGAAACCCUGAUGCAGCGACGCCGCGUGAGUGAAGGAGUAUCUCGGUACGUAAAGCUCUAUCAGCAGGGAAGAAAAUGACGGUACCUGACUAAGAAGCCCCGGCUAACUACGUGCCAGCAGCCGCGGUAAUACGUAGGGGGCAAGCGUUAUCCGGAUUUACUGGGUGUAAAGGGAGCGCAGACGGCAGUACAAGUCUGGAGUGAAAUCCCGGGGCUGAACCCCGGGACUGCUUUGGAAACUGAGUGGGUGGAGUGCAGGAGGGGCAAGCGGAAUUCCUAGUGUAGCGGUGAAAUGCGUAGAUAUUAGGAGGAACACCGGUGGCGAAGGCGGCUUGCUGGACUGUAACUGACGUUGAGGCUCGAAGGCGUGGGGAGCAAACAGGAUUAGAUACCCGUGUAGUC
RNAcentral lists this ribosomal RNA (440 nucleotides) under uncultured bacterium. RNAcentral describes it as "partial 16S ribosomal RNA". It matches the Rfam family "Bacterial small subunit ribosomal RNA", at positions 338 to 795 of the family's 1533-position model. The record is from RNAcentral.